Zea mays is the source of this 1988-nucleotide RNA transcript. RefSeq lists it as uncharacterized. NCBI's taxonomy places the organism in Eukaryota, Viridiplantae, Streptophyta, Magnoliopsida, Poales, Poaceae. The record is from RefSeq and is marked validated. The transcript is spliced from 3 exons.
GGCCUUUCUUACAUUAUUCAGGUCCAGGUCACAUGAUGCACAGACAGCCCGUCCGACGCCGCGUUAGCUACUUGCCUACUUCAGCUAUAUGAAACGGCAAAAGUCUUCCCCUCGUUCCCCAAUCUCCUCUCCAUCGAAACCCUAGCACGACGCAAUUCCCGUCUUCCCACGCCGUAUCGCCGUUGCUAUGGGCAAGAAGCGGAAGCUCGAGCCCAAAUCGGCGGCAGGGUUCACGCCGGUUAAGGCCUCCCCGACCACCAGGUCUGCCACCGCUAAGGCCGCUGGUCUAUCCGAGGUCCUCGCCCCCGUCGAGGCUACGAUGGAGAAGCUGCCGCAGGGGGCAGGCGGCGAGGAUGUAGAGGAAAUCGAGGAGGUGGAGGUCGAGGAGGAAGUGGAAGUGGAAGAGGAAGAAGAAGGCGAGAGCGACCAGGCUUCGAUCCAGGCGCUGCUGGAUUCGUUCCCCAAGGACCAGCUCGUCGAGCUGUUACGCGACGCUGCCAUCGCUCACGGCGACGUGCUAACCACCAUCCGGCGCGUGGCCGACGCCGACCCGGCUCAGCGGAAGAUCUUCGUACACGGCCUCGGCUGGGACACCACAACCGACACCCUCACCGAGGCCUUCGGCCCAUACGGCGAGAUAGAGGAUCUCAAGGUCGUCACCGACCGCAACACGGGCAAGUGCAAGGGGUACGGGUUCAUCCUCUUCCGUCACCGCUCCGGCGCCCGAGCUGCACUACGCGAGCCCCAGAAGAAGAUUGGUAACCGCAGCACCGCCUGCCAGCUCGCCUCUGUUGGCCCUGUCCCUGGUGGUGCGCCCAACAGCGCUGCACCAGCCCCGGUUCAAUUGCAGUUGCCACCAGUGUCAGAGUAUACACAACGAAAGAUAUUUGUCAGCAAUGUUGGUGCAGAUAUCGAUCCGCAGAAAUUGCUUCAGUUCUUUGCGAGGUUUGGUGAGAUCGAGGAAGGCCCGCUUGGUCUUGACAAGGUCACUGGGAAACCCAAGGGAUUUGCUCUUUUUGUCUACAAGACCAUUGAAAGUGCCAAGAAGGCUCUUGAGGAGCCACAUAAGCAUUUUGAGGGAGUGAUGCUGCACUGCCAGAAGGCGAUUGAUGGACCAAAGCCGAACAAAUUAGGAGGAGCUGGAGGUUUUUUCGGUGCUGGAGCUUCAAGUGGGGGCAAGGGGUUUGCUGGUUAUGGAGCUACUAGUCAUUCUCUGCCCGGAACUGUUGGUAUUGUCCAGCCAAUGUCACCUCUGGCACCUGGAUUGGCUUCAUUGCCUGGUGGUAUUUCUGCUGCCCCAGGUGUGGAUCCUGCUCUGGGGCAGGCCUUGACAGCUUUGCUUGCCACCCAGCAGGGGGGUGGGCUGAGUUUUAAUAGCAUUCUGGGGGUCGGUGCUAAUGGAUCGGGGUUGCCUCCGCAGGGGCCAACUGGUGCAUUGGGUGGUAGCAGCGUGCAGGGGAUGCAAGGUGGUUAUAUGGGUGGCUACGGUGGUUCUGGUGGGUAUGGGGGUGCUUCUUCAGGAGGCCCUGGAAGACAUUACAUGGGUCAUUAGUAUCCUCGGUAGUUCAUUAUCUAUAUUUUUGAGGUUUCUGACAAGUCUUCCGGUUUUCAUGAUGAUUAUAACUAUUUUACUGUGGCCAGAAUGCCAGAUGAUUCUACAUGUUCCUGCUUGGCACUUAUAAACUUGCUGUUUUAAGCUGUUUCUGGCUACUCAAUUAUGGCUGUGGUCAAAGUUUUCAUAGGAACUUUGGUUCCCUCCACCUAUCAUUUCAAAACGAAAUUACCGUUUAGAUUUUCAAAAGGGCAUCUUAUGGCUGCAAGACUAUUGUAGAAGACUUCAUGUGGAUCUAAAGCAUUGUGGUAUUUAAUGAUAUUACUGUUUUUGUACGGUUUUCAAAAGGCCAAAUUAAGGCUUGCAAAACUAUUGUAAAAGACUUCCUGUGGGUUUAAAGCACUGAGCUAUUUAAUCACAACGGUUUUGUUUCAUA